RNAcentral lists this ribosomal RNA (253 nucleotides) under uncultured bacterium. RNAcentral describes it as "partial 16S ribosomal RNA". It matches the Rfam family "Bacterial small subunit ribosomal RNA", at positions 524 to 776 of the family's 1533-position model. The record is from RNAcentral.
UACAGAGGUGGCAAGCGUUGUUCGGAAUUACUGGGCGUAAAGGGCGCGUAGGCGGCCUUCUAAGUCAGACGUGAAAUCCCCCGGCUUAACCUGGGAACUGCGUCUGAUACUGGAUGGCUUGAGUAUGGGAGAGGGAUGUAGAAUUCCAGGUGUAGCGGUGAAAUGCGUAGAUAUCUGGAGGAAUACCGGUGGCGAAGGCGGCAUCCUGGACCAUUACUGACGCUGAGGCGCGAAAGCGAGGGGAGCAAACGGG